AAGCCCCCCCCAGGCCCUGCCCAGGGUCUCGUCGUUCACCUCGUUCCCCAGGUCCCCACAGAAGAUCCUAAAGUCGUCUGGGGACACCCCAAAGGUCAUGGGGACACCCCAAAGGUCAUGGGGACACCCCAAAGGUCACCAGAGACUCCAAAGGUCAUGGGGACACCCCAAAGGUCAUGGGGACACCCCAAAGGUCACCAGAGACCCCAAAGGUCAUGGGGACACCCCAAGGGUCAUGGGGACACCCCAAGGGUCAGGGGGACACCCCAAAGGUCCUGGGGACACCCCAAAGUCACCCCAGAGUCACCCUUGGGUUAUGGGGACACCCCAAAGGUCACCAGAGACCCCAAAGUCACCCCCAGUUCCAUCCCAGUCCCCCCAGUUCUCUCCCAGUUCUCCCAAUCCCCUCCCAGUGCUCCCAGUGCCCUCCCAGUGCCCUCCCAGUGCUCCCAGUGCCCUCCCAGUGCCCUCCCAGUACCCUCCCAGUGACCCCCCAGUGCUCCCAGUGCAGGGAUGGGGUUGGGCAGGUGCUGCCUGUGGAGUGAACUGGUGCAAACUGGUGCAAACUGGUGCAAACUGGUGACUCGCUCUUCCCC
This 596-nucleotide long non-coding RNA is filed under the name Manacus vitellinus (golden-collared manakin). Its description in RNAcentral is "lncRNA (ENSMVIG00005003346.1)". Lineage: Eukaryota; Metazoa; Chordata; Aves; Passeriformes; Pipridae. The record is from RNAcentral.